UUAGUAGUGCGACUCUAGAGGUGAAAUUCUUGGACCGUCGCAAGACUCACUAAAGCGAAAAGCAUUUGCCAAGAAUGUUUUCAUUAAUCAAGAUCGAAAGUCAGAGGUUCGAAGGCGAUCAGAUACCGCCCUAGUUCUAACCAUAAAUGAUGCCAACCAGCAAUCAGCCUGUGUUCUCUUGAUGACACGGCUGGCGGCUUCCGGGAAACCAAAGUCUUUCGGUUCCAGGGGAAGUAUGGUUGCAAAGCUGAAACUUAAAGGAAUUGACGGAAGGGCACCACCAGGAGUGGAGCCUGCGGCUUAAUUUGACUCAACACGGGGAAACUCACCCGGCCCGGACACUGUGAGGAUUGACAGGUUGAAGCCCUUUCUUGAUUCAGUGGGUGGUGGUGCAUGGCCGUUCUUAGUUGGUGGAGUGAUUUGUCUGGUUAAUUCCGAUAACGAACGAGACUCUAGCCUACUAAUUAGACCGUGGCGUCCUUCGGGCCGCCACGGCGCUUCCUAGAGGGACAGACGGCGUUUCAGCCGU
Molecule: ribosomal RNA, 529 nt
Filed under: Proctolaelaps sp. OctN33DINF5
Lineage: Eukaryota; Metazoa; Arthropoda; Arachnida; Mesostigmata; Ascidae
Description: SSU rRNA
Rfam family: Eukaryotic small subunit ribosomal RNA
Source: RNAcentral